RNAcentral lists this ribosomal RNA (333 nucleotides) under uncultured soil bacterium. RNAcentral's name for it is "bacterial SSU rRNA". It matches the Rfam family "Bacterial small subunit ribosomal RNA", at positions 26 to 360 of the family's 1533-position model. The record is from RNAcentral.
AGGACGAACGCUGGCGGCGUGCUUAACACAUGCAAGUCGAGCGGUAAGGCCUUUCGGGGUACACGAGCGGCGAACGGGUGAGUAACACGUGGGUGAUCUGCCCUGCACUCUGGGAUAAGCUUGGGAAACUGGGUCUAAUACCGGAUAUGACCACAGUGCGCAUGUGUUGUGGUGGAAAGUAUUUAUCGGUGCAGGAUCGGGCCCGCGGCCUAUCAGCUUGGUUGGUGGGUAAUGGCCUACCGAAGGCGACGACGGGUAGCCGACCUGGAGAGGGUCGACCGGCCACACGUGGGACUGAGACACGGCCAGACUCCGUACGGGAGGCAGCGAGGU